This is a long non-coding RNA of Passer domesticus (house sparrow), 423 nucleotides long. RefSeq lists it as uncharacterized. The transcript is spliced from 2 exons. The record is from RefSeq and is a predicted model, not a curated record. Lineage: Eukaryota; Metazoa; Chordata; Aves; Passeriformes; Passeridae.
CACACAAGAGGUAACUCCCCUGGAUAGGCCAGCAGGAUGCAUUUCCAGCAGUGAGAUGAGAGGUUCACCACAGUCCCUGCACUAAUCCAACUUUACCCUUUUUUUGGGGAAACAAGGUGGGGGCAGGAGAAAAGCACUUUGCUGUCCCAUCCUGCUCACUAACAAGGAGGGAAUUAAACAGAGGAGCUGGAGUUCCCUUGCCACAGAAACUGGCAACAGGAGCAGGAAAGUGAAAAACUUGAGAAGGCAUCAUCCUCCCUCCCCCUCAGCAGCAGGAGCACACCACGGCCCAAUCUACAUCACAAGGUUACUUUAGCCACAGCUGUAAAAGCCAGUUCUGCUCCUCUCCUCCAGCUUUGGAGGAUACUUGCUCAACCUCAACCUUUCAGCCUAUCCUUGCAGUACAGCAUUACCUCAGAAGAA